This 848-nucleotide long non-coding RNA is filed under the name Homo sapiens (human). RNAcentral describes it as "non-protein coding TMEM161B-AS1:48". The record is from RNAcentral. Lineage: Eukaryota; Metazoa; Chordata; Mammalia; Primates; Hominidae.
GGGGGCUUUAAGGAAGCAAAUGGACUUUCAGAACAGAGAUUGUCAAUAAAGAUCCAAUGUGAUAAUUUAUGUGAAAUCUUUCUGCAAACUAUACAGUAUGAUAAAAAUAUAAGGUAGUUUCACUGGAAACAACAGAAGACUAGAAGCUGAUGUGACGUGGCAAUAUCAACCAGGAAUACCCAUCUCGAGUUCUGGAUAUGUGCUCUGAGAAGGUGCCCAUGUCACCGACCACACUGGAGGCCAAUGCAGAUACUGGGGGAAGGUUCCAUGGUAGCUAAGUGUGGACAAGCUAAUCACUGAAGUUCCCUGAUGCAGAGUUGAUAAUCUCUCUAGAGUUGGAUGAAAGACUGUGCUGCCUUGAAGCUCUGAGAGAUGCCAUGCCAAUUCAAGGCAGGGUCUUUAUUGUUGAAACUCUUGCGUAAUGACAUCUUUAUUCAGGUGAAAAUACAGGAUGAAUUUCAACUAUAUGAUAUUGUUUAUGUUCCUCAGACAUGUUAUUUGUCUUUACAAAGAUUGGUUUCAAUAAACUGUGUGACUGAUAUUAAAUAAACAUGGAAUUUUACACAUUCAUAAUAUUUGGUUUCUUGUGAUUUUGAUGAACUAUACUUUCAAGCAUUGUCAGUUCAUCCUCAUUUACAAGGAAACAUUUGCUGUAGCAGAGUGAUGUAGUGACUUGCUUUACUUAAGAUAAGUCAACUUUUCUAUUCAAUGUUUAAUGUGAAACUGACUUAAAAAUUUUCUUUUAGGCCACAUUUACAUUUCUGUUUGUAUAACAUGCAUUAUACUAUUUUAACUUAAUACUAUGGCUAUAUAAACCAAAGACAUCCUAAUUCUGUUUUUAAUUUAUU